CGUAGGUGGCAAGCGUUGUCCGGAAUUAUUGGGCGUAAAGCGCGCGCAGGCGGUUCCUUAAGUCUGAUGUGAAAGCCCCCGGCUCAACCGGGGAAGGUCAUUGGAAACUGGGGAACUUGAGUGCAGAAGAGAAGAGCGGAAUUCCACGUGUAGCGGUGAAAUGCGUAGAGAUGUGGAGGGACACCAGUGGCGAAGGCGGCUCUUUGGUCUGUAACUGACGCUGAGGCGCGAAAGCGUGGGGAGCAAACAGGAUUAGAUACCCUGGUAGUCCACGCCGUAAACGAUGAGUGCUAAGUGUUAGAGGGUUUCCGCCCUUUAGUGCUGCAGCUAACGCAUUAAGCACUCCGCCUGGGGAGUACGGCCGCAAGGCUG
RNAcentral lists this ribosomal RNA (372 nucleotides) under uncultured organism. Its description in RNAcentral is "bacterial SSU rRNA". It matches the Rfam family "Bacterial small subunit ribosomal RNA", at positions 526 to 896 of the family's 1533-position model. The record is from RNAcentral.